AUCGCUUCUCGGCCUUUUGGCUAAGAUCAAGUGUAGUAUCUGUUCUUAUCAGUUUAAUAUCUGAUAUGUCCUCUAUAUGAGGACAACAUAUUAAGCCGAUUUUUGGCAGCGGGAGUUGAAAAAGGAGCUAGCUCCGUUCAGUCCAAGCAUCGCCCCGGUACUGCAGUGCCGCCGGAAAUGGUGCACGCUUC
Molecule: small nuclear RNA, 191 nt
Organism: Cololabis saira (Pacific saury)
Lineage: Eukaryota; Metazoa; Chordata; Actinopteri; Beloniformes; Belonidae
Product: U2 spliceosomal RNA
Exons: 1
Source: RefSeq, a predicted model, not a curated record